RNAcentral lists this ribosomal RNA (260 nucleotides) under uncultured bacterium. Its description in RNAcentral is "partial 16S ribosomal RNA". It matches the Rfam family "Bacterial small subunit ribosomal RNA", at positions 526 to 779 of the family's 1533-position model. The record is from RNAcentral.
CGUAGGUGGCAAGCGUUAUCCGGAAUUAUUGGGCGUAAAGCGCGCGUAGGCGGUUUCUUAAGUCUGAUGUGAAAAGCCCACGGCUCAACCGUGGAGGGUCAUUGGAAAACUGGGAAACUUGAGUACAGAAGAGGAAAGUGGAAUUCCAUGUGUAGCGGUGAAAAUGCGCAGAGAUAUGGAGGAACACCAAGUGGCGAAAGGCGACUUUCUGGUCUGUAACUGACGCUGAUGUGCGAAAGCGUGGGGGAUCAAACAGGAUU